This 426-nucleotide ribosomal RNA is filed under the name uncultured bacterium. RNAcentral's name for it is "bacterial SSU rRNA". It matches the Rfam family "Bacterial small subunit ribosomal RNA", at positions 356 to 773 of the family's 1533-position model. The record is from RNAcentral.
GGGGAAUAUUGCGCAAUGGGGGAAACCCUGACGCAGCGACGCCGUGUGAGGGAAGAAGGCCUUCGGGUCGUAAACCUCUGUCGGGAGGGAAGAACCGCCAGGUUCCGAACAGGAACCUGGCCUGACGGUACCUCUAGAGGAAGCGCCGGCUAACUCCGUGCCAGCAGCCGCGGUAAUACGGAGGGCGCGAGCGUUAAUCGGAAUCACUGGGCGUAAAGCGCACGUAGGCGGCUUGAUAAGUCGGGCGUGAAAGCCCUCGGCCCAACCGAGGAAUUGCGUUCGAUACUGUCUGGCUUGAGUCCUGGAGAGGGUGGCGGAAUUCCGGGUGUAGGAGUGAAAUCCGUAGAUAUCCGGAGGAACACCGGUGGCGAAGGCGGCCACCUGGACAGGUACUGACGCUGAGGUGCGAAAGCGUGGGGAGCAAAC